Long non-coding RNA from Mirounga angustirostris (Northern elephant seal), 8504 nucleotides. RefSeq lists it as uncharacterized. Lineage: Eukaryota; Metazoa; Chordata; Mammalia; Carnivora; Phocidae. The transcript is spliced from 2 exons. The record is from RefSeq and is a predicted model, not a curated record.
GACAGGGUGGGGGCGAGGCGGCGUGUGUGUGACUGACAGCUAGGGCAGGGUGGCGCGCGGGUUUGCGGUUCCUUAAUGAACUCUGAUUAUUUUCCGUGUGGUAAGGUGAAAGACUUUUUUUUCUCGUUUUCGAAAGCCAGGGCUCUGUAUUGCUUCUUUUUAAAUAGCAAAAACCGAAAUAUUUGUAACUUAGGUAUCAAAUUGUCAGAUUUCAUGGGCCAUUGUGUUGUUUGUGUUGUUUUUGUUUCUGAGGGGGAGAAACAGUAAAACUAUGGCGAUUUUUGAUGGUGCAGGGGCGAGAGAGAUGGUUUUUGCUGGAUAAUGAGGGUCUUGAUUUUUUUUUUUUUUUACCUAAAGCCCAUUUUAUUUCAGAAUUGUACUAGAAAGCAAUUUAAAAGCUCCUAAAUGCAGUUCUGUAAAACAGGACACCAAAAAGAAGAAAUACUGUGCGGAAAACUGCCAAAGUUAGAUACAGUUCUAUUACAAACACCUUUGGGCAUGAUAGGUUUGGGUUAUUGUUGCUGAUACUUAAGCUCUUGACAAAUGGGGACUUUUUCCUGGUGACAUCUUGCAAAGAUCAGGUUUAGUGUUGCAUUUUCUCCCCUUACAUCCUGUUUUCAUGUGGUUAAUUUUACUUUUAAAAACACUUGUAUUUCUCAAAAAAACCACAUUUGUAUUUCUCGACUAUUUAAGUAUAUCAUUUUGCUUAGUUAUAUUCAAGAGUUUUGUUAAUCUCCUGGUUAAUGUGAGUCAGAGUCAGGAAUGCAAGUUUAUUAUAACUGUGGUAUAUAAGGCUAUGAGAGGUGUGGGUGGUCAGCAUGGAGUGAAAUACAACUUUAUAAACAAGGGUCUAAAAGGAGCCGUUAAACUUGGUGGAAAGCUUUGUUGCUUGACCGGGCCAAAAGGGAAGUCUGCCUUGAGUGACUACCAGAAUUAUCUAGUGUAGUUAAUUUAAUUGAGUGGCUUUGAGUAACUGUUACAGGGACCCCAAAUUUAUAAGUUUAUUAUUAUGACUUUCAUUCAGUACAGGAGGUUUGAGCUUAUUUUUUUUUUUUAAAGUAAGCUCUACACCCAACGUGGGGCUUGAACUCACAACCCCGAGAUCAAGAGUCACAUGCUCUAUCUACUGAGCUAGCUAGGAGCCCCAGGAGGUUUUAGCUUUUCAUGAAAGGAAGUCUUAUGCCUAUUUAUCCUUCUUGUUAAGAGGCUGCUUCUGCAUGAUCUUGAUCAUUUCCUUAGGCAUUGAUGGCAUUCACCUUCUGGAGUCAGUCACUAUGAUUUCACCUGUGUGUAGCAGCUUGGCGAAGGUGAAGUCAGCCUAUACACCAGGAGCAAACAGAGCAAUAAAAAAUCAGGACCUUCUUUGGCAAAAGACAACAUGCUUAGCCCUAAAUUACUCAGAGGCUCAAGUGUUCAGCCUUAAAUUGGCAAUUCCACAGAAUUUAAGAGUGUUCUGAGUUUGUGAAUAGUAUCAUAUUUAUUUAUUUAUUUUCUUUUUAAAGCAUCAGGCUACACGUUAAGGACUUGUAUUUUUUUACUUAGGUAUCUUUUGGUGAUAAUAAUACAUCUUAUGCAGGUUAAUAUAAAAAUAUAAAAAGCUAUAAACUAUUCUUUUACAUUAGAUCCAAAUAUUAAGGUUAUUUCAUUUAACACAUGCAGUAUCCACAGGAAUACCUGGCAUAUUCAACAUUGCAUUCGGAAAGAGGUUAUGAAUUCUUGCUGAAGUCACCAAUUAUAUGACAUUGUCCACUCACUUUUGAUCACACUAUGUCUUGGUUUCACCAGAGGGAAAUGCUUGUAAUUAGUUCCCCGCCUUAAUAGGACUCAGGACAAAAAAGGUUAUUAUCAAGACAUAAAAAUUCUGAGCAAUAAUACAGUAUGGUUGGGCUCCCUAGGCAGCAGAAGAGAUAAGUUGGUGUAAGUCGUUAGUGAUCUCCAUUUCCCUGCUUGUGUGAAGCACCCAGCACUGUUGUUGUGAGGCCCUCGCUGGGCUCCCCUAUGUUCUGGGAGUGGAGCCUGCGUACUUUGAGUGUGGAUUUAGAAUUAGAGUUUUCUUCUUUGCUUUUGCAAAAAUUGUUAUCAUUUUUUCUAAGAACCCCUUCAAAACAAUGGCGAAAUUCUUACUGUCUUAUUGAAUGAGUCUAUAUUUGGAGUUUGUGGAAGAAAAGUAUGACCUAGUUAAUCAGCUGCUUUUUAAGCUCUAUUACCAACUAAGGUGAUCACAUUUUAGGUUAUAAAGGAUGAGAGUAUGGCAAAAUUUGCUGUGCAGUGGUUGGUGUUAUUGAAGGAGGAACCCCUUACUUGGAAGCUUUUGCCCAAAACUGCAGUAUGUUUUUACUGCCCAAAUACUAUGAUAUAUUUUAGGGAUUUUCAAUCUUGUCUUUAAUAAGAACCCUUUAAAAUUGCUUUAGUUAACCCAUGUUUUAAAAGAUAUUAUCAAGAAAUACAUUUGCAUUUGUAAUUACUGUGUGUUACAGUGAAGAAAAAAAAAACAAAGGCAUUAUAGCAGGCAAUACUGAACUGCCUCAAAUAACCAAUAUAACCACACUGAGUUGAUUUAAUUCCAGCCCACAAGAAAACAAAACUGUUGUUAGCCUUGUAGCUUACCCCUAGGAAAUCUUUAAUUUCUAUUGGGUGGUUUGGUAUUUUGAGCAAAACAUGUAGAUACUUUAUUACUGUUUCCAAUGAACAAUAGGGGAGUGAGACUGGGACCCCUAUACUGAGGCUUCAUGAUUAAAAGAGAAAAGCGUCGCAAAAGAAAGUUGAGCUACUUUUAAUGCAAGGAAAGAGCUGUUGGAUAGGUCAGAGUUGCAACUAUCAUACUUCAGAUCUGGCGUCUUGUGUAUUUGGAAUGAAGUGGGAGGAAAGGCAGCAUCCUUGGUGUGAUCCUUUGAAGACUGAUGGCUCAGGCAUAGUGCCAUGGUUUCAGUAUGUUUCAGGACUUGAAUUUAGAAUCUUCUCCUCGCCUUUCCUCCAUAUGACGAAAUGGUGAUAGGAAGGCAUUUAUUGUUUACGUUAUUUGAAGCAGCGGGCUGUACAUUUGUGCUUUAGUUCUGGUUAGUGUUUUAACUAUUUGCCCAUUCCUUUUAUGGGCUACUUCUUGGCUUUUAUUGAAAUGGUAUCGUGAGGAGAGCAAGUUAAGCAGUGAAAACAGAUUGUCGGAACCAGAAAAGAAGCACAUUGUGCUCAAUUUUCAAAACUCUUCUGUUAAUCUCUGUUUUGGUUCCUAAGAGUAUUGCUCAAGAAUCUGUUUUCUUAGGAGUGUCCAUCUCAUCUUGAAUAUUAAAUUUAAAAUGGUUUAUUGCAAAUUUCCCCUUUGAGGCUGGUUUCAUAUAUUGCUUUUCGUUUUGUUGUUGAAGGUAUUUGUCAUUAAAAUUUAUUUUCUGUUCUCAUUCAUUCACUGUUUUCUCAGGUACUUUUUGAACAACUGCUGUGUGCCACACUUUGUCAGGGGUUGGUUAUAUGUUGCCAAAUAAAGACAGUUCUCUUGCCUGAUGGAUCUUUCACUGUAAUGGAAACUGGACAUAAUAACGUAUGUGUGAAGGAAGUUCCUGAGGGGGGAAGGACCUGAUGUGAAAGGAACCAGCAUUGGUUGGUGAAGUAGAGGAAGAUGAGGGGAGAGUGAUGCCGGAUAAGAGGAUGCCAUUGACCUAUUCAUGGUAGGACCUGCUUUUGAUUUGUUUUUCUGGUACUGUUAUGUACAGACAUUCUCAAGUGAUUCUCUGUAAAAACUAGUUACACAUUUGUGAUAGAGCCACUUAAUAAAUUUGUGGCCGUGGAACAGAACAAAUAAUGCUUCAUUUGGCACUUUUCUCUUGUAGUUGAGAUACCUGAUUAUAUAGAUUGGAUUGGAUUGGAUUGGGAAUGCUGUGUUUAUUAGUCCAAGGUAAGAUUUUCUUGAAGCUGGGGAUAUGGCAAAUAGGGUUAUAGGAAAAUAGAACCAAAGACAUUUAGUAACAGAAACAGAGGUGACCCAAAUAAUAGAAACUGCAAUAAAAGUUGAACACUUUAUUUCUUAGUUAUACUAAUCCCUUUCUCUGUAUUAUUUUAUUCAAGCUUUAAUCUUCACAAUAGGGCUGUGAAAUAGAUGGCAUUUGGAUCCUCACUUGAAGAUGAGGAAACUGGGUUGUGGGGAGGUUAUUACUCAUUUAAGAAGAUAGAGCUAACACAUGUAAAUUGGGACUUGAACUCGAGUUUGGAUUCAAAGCCCAUGCUUUCAGUCACUGUUCUCUGUGGCUGGAACAAAACCAACAGUUCUGUGUUUCUUGUAGGCUUUUCUGCAGUCAUGUGGUACACAGAGAAGUUAAUGUGGUGGACCUCAAGUAGGCUUUCGCUUCUUAGAAGCCAAAAUGUAUGAAGUGGAGUCUUUAAUGUAGAGGUACUUAGUAUGUUAUGGAGGGGGUAUUGUUUUAGUGUAUGUCACAGGAGUAUUUGGGAUAGAAAUACUUGCUGAUUCCUGUAUAAGACUGUUGGUUGUUGCAAUGGAUAGGAGAUGAUAACUGGGAUUGGCCACAUAAAGAUUCUGGGCCACAUUUCUCUACAACUCACAAAGGUCACGGAGUUAGAAGGUAGUAUCGCUAGUCACCUGAAAGCCAACUUUUGGUAUGUGUUGCUGAAUGAGCUUGAGUUGGUUAAUGUAUAUACUGUAUUCUACUUCAGAAGGAAUAGUUAGGUCUUUAGAACUUGUUCGUCUUCGUCCUCCUCCCCCUUCUGUUUGUUUUAAACAACUGAGAACUUUAAGGGCAAAAAGCCUUCAUAAAAAAUUUACCAAUGAAAGGUAAUGGGAGCUUAAGUUAUUCAAGAUAAGCUUAUCAGGGUUUGGAAUACCAGCAGCUUGAUUUUACUGUAAAACCAAAAGCACAGAUCAUAAUCUUUGUCUAACCUUCUUACGUGUGGGUUGGGGAGAGAAGUAUGCAGAUUGUAGGAAUCACUGAGGACAGGAAGGGCAGGUAGAAGUAGGCUCUCUGCACAUGAGCUUGUAGAACAAAAGGCAUUUCUUUGUUGCUCAGUGAGUCCAAAUGCUGGGAAGGAAUGUAGAGAAAGGAAGCAGAAAGGCUUGGGUCUCACAGUGCUGCUCUACUUGCUCAUACCUCAUAAAGGCCUUCUCAAGAUGUGUCAAUUCUGGUUACCCUCGGGAUUUUCCUACUGGUGAAACUUCUCUUCAUAUAGCUUCAUCUUUUCCCCCCAGAAACUGUGAGACUUCUUGAAAUUUGUAAUAAAAAUUUUAGAUACUCCAGCAGUAAUUUCCAGGAACCACAGCCUCUGAUAUCAUGCUGCUUUUGGUCUUUUCUCUUCGGUGAUUAUAUACGUGUCAGAGCUUAUAUACUUCUGAUUUCCUCCUGGGGGUGUGAUAACAUACUGUUUCUUGAUUCUCUCAGAAGCGAUGAGUGACCAGCAGGUAGGUUUUUUAGCCACCUGAUUAGGACCUCAUGCCAAUGAGAUUAAAGCAAAGGUUUCAUCCCCAUAGGUCCAUCCCCAUGGGAGUGAUUUAGUAUAGCUCUGCCACCUCCUUUGGCCCCACAUAGCUCAGUAGCCCUAGCCUGCUGCCUUGCCAGCUACCACUCUUGGAUUGCAAGACAGAAUUAAUUGAAAAGAUAGAUGGUCAAAAAUAAGUAAGUUACUAAAGCUGGAAAAACAUAAAGCCCACGUGAAAGAACAGAAGGGAAGUGAACAGGUGUGGAGGAAAUGAAUGAGAAUGAUGGAUAGAAAGAGUCAAAGAGAUAGUGCCUACAUUUGGUUGGAUUAAGUGAAAUUAGGUUGGAACUGCUGUUGUAGAAAUGAAAAGGACAAGUAACUUACUGCCUAUCUUUGCUAAAGGGUCUUGCUUCGGUAUAUAUUAUCUACACUGAACAGGUUUAGAAGAUUACUAAACUAAAAUUAUUCAACUAUGCCAACUGAAUGCCAACUAAGAUAGUUUGAAUUCAGUUUCCAAAGCUGAUUUUUUUGAGUAUAUAUUGAUACAAGUUUGAAAAAAAAGUCUUCACAUAGGUAGAAAAGCUGUUUGUUCUUUUCAUACGAGUAUCUGUCUCAAAUAUUGUUAGAAGUCACAGUAUUUCAGUUUAGAAUUGAUGAACAUAGGAGCUGGAAAGGCUACUGAACAGGCUGUGACUGCAGUGUGAGUAGAGUCUGAAAGAAAUGAAAAGCAAAAACUCACCAGAAAAGGUCCAUGUUAGUAUGUGCUUUUCUUAGUGUUCCAGAUUGUUAACAGUAUAAUUAGAUCCUUACCUCUUAAGAGUGUACUUUUUAAUUUGUGCUGUUAGGAAGGAUUUUUGUUUUGAAAUAUUGCAAAUGAAUAUCUUUUUCUCUACUUAAAAACUGGUAUACUCGGAAUUUUGAACAGUGGGUGGAUUAUUGAUCUGUGAAUUUUUGAAGCAGAUUGUACAUCUCAUAGAUUUUGCUAUUUAAGCAAAAUAUGUGACUUUCUUAAUAGGAGGCUCUAAGAAAGUCCUUGAGUCCAAUUGAAAACCAUUGAGGAUAUCACAGAAGAGUUGAGGUUUUGUUUUGUUUUAAAGAUAUAUUUAUUUAUUUUAGAGAAAGAACGAGCAUGUGCAGGUGGUGGAGAGGGACAAAGGGAGAGGGAGAGAGAGAAUCUCAAGCAGUCUCCCUGCUGAGUGCGGAGCCUGACUCCUGGCUUGAUCUCACAACCCAAGAUCACGACCUGAGCUGAAACCGAGAAUUGGUUGCUUAACUGACUAAGCCACCCCGGUGCCCCAGAGGAGUUGAGUUUUAAAAUAGAAGUUCCUUCGAGGAGAUCUAGUCAUCCCAUCAGUUAAAAAAUGAGGUACUGAGGCAAUGAGAAAUUAAGUGGACGGUAAAGGACAAAAAGUAGUCAAAGAAUCAUAAUGAAGACUCCAGGCCUUGACUUGGAUUUCAGUUCUGUUAUCAGCACCAGUUAGGUGCUUUGAACAUGGAUAAAGCUAAAGGAAUAAGAAAUGACAAGUGCUUUUGUUCACGGGACUCAUAAAACCUAUCUGGGGGCUUUGCAGGUGUCAAUAUAUUUUUUUUUUAUUUUAAAGAUUUUAUUUGGGGGGUGGAGAGAUUGUGUGCGUGAGCAGGGGGAGGAGCAGAGGGGGAGGGAGAAGGAGGGGAAACAUUCUCAAGCAGACUUGUGCUGAGUGCAGAGCCCCAUUCAGGGCUUGAUCUUAGGACUCUGAGAUUGUGACCUGAGCCAAAAACCAAGAGUUGGACACUUAAGUGACUGAGCCACCCAGGUGCCCUGAAAGUAUCAAUAAUUUUCAAACAAAGAAUUUGAUGCCAGACUAGUCUAUUUUAUUUAAAUGAAACCUUUUAGUACCUAGCUAGAUGAAUGAGAUGGGAAGACACAGAAACAAAUGUUUCAGAGGGAAGUGGUAUGGAUGGUGAUGGACGUGUGGAUGUGAUACUUUUUUUUUUUUUUUUAAACUAAAGCAUGGGUUAUUUAUUUAUUUAUUUAUUUGACAGAGAGAGAGAGAGAGAGCUGAAGUAGGCAGAGAGGCAGGCAGAGAGAGAGGGAGAAGCAGGCUCUCCGCUGAGCAGGGAGCCCGACGUGGGGCUCGAUCCCAGGACCCUGGGAUCAUGACCCGAGCCGAAGGCAGCCACUUAACCGACUGAGCCACCCAGGUGCCCCUGGAUGUGAUACUUUAAGUACACAGACAAGUGGAUGGCUUGUUCUGUAAGAUGUUCCUUUAAAUUCUUUGGUGUAAAGAUACAGCAUUAUUAGAGAAAUAAUGCCUGAUUUACUAAGAUACCUUGCUUUCACAUCCAUCAGCUCCUGUUUAUGAUUUAGUUGGUGUAGUUUCCAUGCAGUGAUAAGCUCUUUUUUUCCCCAGGAAAGCUAUUGUGACGUAUAGAACAGAGUUGAGUUAUUUGCCCUUCAUAGUUGAUGCUAUCAACAGUCACUCAUUAGAUUUGGCUGACCAGAGAGUCUGCAAAGAUUGAAAGAUUAUUCUGUGAUUAUCUUUUGGUCGUAUUACUUUCGAUGGUAUCACAUCUAUUCUAGUUCCCAUCACUGCUGUGCUCUGGGCUUGAGAUUUAGUUGAUUUUCUUUUUCAUUUGUGCUUACGUCUACAACAUUAAGACGUUAACAUUUAGCUUUGCUUCCCAUCUUCAUGGUCUAGAACUGAGUUGCCCACUAAUUUAGCCUCUUACCACACAUGGCUAUUUAAAUUUAAAUUAAUUAAAGUUAAAUACAGUAAAAGUUCCGUUUCUCAGUUAUGCAUUUCGAGUGCACAGUGACCACAGGUAGCUAGCAGCUACUGUAUUGAACAGUUCAGGGGUAUAAGAACAUUACUGUAGAAAGUUAUAUUAGACAGCACUGGUCUAGAGUAUCAUUCAUCAUCCAUACAAUGCAAACCUUUCGGAAAGCCCUUAGGACAGUGUUAGUAAAUGGCCAUUGCCGCCUGGUUGCAUUCAUCACAGAAGAGGAUUUGCAACAGAUAAUGGGGAUUUUUCAAAGCUGGAGUUAGGUGUGCAACUGGGUUAGAAGUAGCCAUGAUUUUAUUAAUAGAUUUUGUUAAUAGAUUAAU